UUCUCCCUGGCACUAUAAGUGUCCUAAAGGGUUGUUCGAGACUAGAACGUUGAUAGGCAGGGUGUGUAAGCGCUGUGAGGCGUUGAGCUAACCUGUACUAAUUGCCCGUGAGGCUUAACCAUACAACACCCAAGGGGUUU
RNAcentral lists this ribosomal RNA (140 nucleotides) under Vibrio sp. V40_P2S30T141. Its description in RNAcentral is "partial 23S ribosomal RNA". The stretch from base 1 to 122 matches the Rfam family "Bacterial large subunit ribosomal RNA", at positions 2809 to 2925 of the family's 2925-position model. Lineage: Bacteria; Pseudomonadati; Pseudomonadota; Gammaproteobacteria; Vibrionales; Vibrionaceae. The record is from RNAcentral.